GUUUCAGUUCUUGCACCUGCUCAGUACAUUGAUGACAGUUUCCUGAAUACGUGUAACUAACAGAUGCAUGUGCUUGUAUAUGCCAUGUGGAGAUUUUAGGCUUACUAAAUUUUGGGCCUCGCUGAGAUCCCCUCACAGAUCCCCUGUGAUGCUUCUGAAACUAUGUAUACAAGAUACAUCACUCACCAUACUUUGCCAAUGCCACUCAGGUAAAUACAGUACAGGAGAAACUAUAGAAGCUUU
This is a non-coding RNA of Pelobates cultripes (western spadefoot toad), 243 nucleotides long. The record is from the annotation of a GenBank genome assembly. NCBI's taxonomy places the organism in Eukaryota, Metazoa, Chordata, Amphibia, Anura, Pelobatidae.